RNAcentral lists this ribosomal RNA (465 nucleotides) under Vreelandella stevensii. RNAcentral describes it as "partial 16S ribosomal RNA". It matches the Rfam family "Bacterial small subunit ribosomal RNA", at positions 338 to 795 of the family's 1533-position model. Lineage: Bacteria; Pseudomonadati; Pseudomonadota; Gammaproteobacteria; Oceanospirillales; Halomonadaceae. The record is from RNAcentral.
CCUACGGGGGGCAGCAGUGGGGAAUAUUGGACAAUGGGGGGAACCCUGAUCCAGCCAUGCCGCGUGUGUGAAGAAGGCCCUCGGGUUGUAAAGCACUUUCAGUGAGGAAGAACGCCUGGUGGUUAAUACCCAUCAGGAAAGACAUCACUCACAGAAGAAGCACCGGCUAACUCCGUGCCAGCAGCCGCGGUAAUACGGAGGGUGCGAGCGUUAAUCGGAAUUACUGGGCGUAAAGCGCGCGUAGGUGUCUUGAUAAGCCGGUUGUGAAAGCCCCGGGCUCAACCUGGGAACGGCAUCCGGAACUGUCAAGCUAGAGUGCAGGAGAGGAAGGUAGAAUUCCCGGUGUAGCGGUGAAAUGCGUAGAGAUCGGGAGGAAUACCAGUGGCGAAGGCGGCCUUCUGGACUGACACUGACACUGAGGUGCGAAAGCGUGGGUAGCAAACAGGAUUAGAUACCCCUGUAGUC